Long non-coding RNA from Hibiscus syriacus, 610 nucleotides. RefSeq lists it as uncharacterized. NCBI's taxonomy places the organism in Eukaryota, Viridiplantae, Streptophyta, Magnoliopsida, Malvales, Malvaceae. The record is from RefSeq and is a predicted model, not a curated record. The transcript has 5 exons.
AUUUGCCAGCUACUGUACGAAUGCUAACAAACUCUAUCUUCCUGAUGCAGGUGGCUUGGCUUCUCUUCUUGGGCAUGAUCAUUUAAUUCUAGCCAGAUGGCGACUCUCUUCUCCUCCCACUGUGACAAUACCCGCCCCUUGAAACGAUCCUUGACCCCAAGGAUCAACCGUGGAAAUUGGGACUUAAGAACGAAAUAGUCCUCCCAAGUGUCGUGAUCGUAGUUGAGGUUAACCCAUUGAACCACUAGUGGACUCAUCGCAGCAACAAUCGAAUCCCCAAUUCAUUUAUUCAAAAGGCUCACAUGAAACACGGGGUACAAACGCGAAUCAUUGGGGCAAGGGAAUUAUGUCGAUAUGGCUGUAACUUCAGGUACACUUGCUGUAACUUCAGGUGGCUUGGGCUUAUUUUCUUAGGCAUGUUUCUUUAAUUCCAGCCAGAUGGGUACAUGCCCUUCAAGUGCCUUUAGAUUCCAAUUUCCCAAAUUUGUGUGUUCAAUCCCUAACCCUAGACUAACAAUCCCCAAUUUCCUUUAUUCGCAACGACUCUCUUCUCCUCCCACUGUGACAGUUUGAUGUUUUGUACACGUUUUAGAUUAUCAAUGAAAGGUUG